CAGUGGCCCAUUCUCAUGAGAUGUCCCAGGGGAACACAGCCUAUGCCUUUUCCCUUUCUUCCCGUAGAAGCUGCAAAGAAGCCCAAGAAAUUUGCCGAAGAACAGGUGGCAAAAGAGCCCAAAGUGAAGAAGAGAAAGUUGGUGAGGACCAGCGCUGGGUGUUAAAGGAAUCCCACUGACCAGCAGCAGUGGGGCCACUACUCCUUUUGGGUAAGUGAACAGUUCAGCUCCAAACCCCACCUGACAGCCUGUUUCCAGCGCCAUCUCGGGGGCGAUGUAUCUUAGCCUGGGUCCUCC
This 297-nucleotide long non-coding RNA is filed under the name Mustela putorius furo (domestic ferret). RNAcentral describes it as "lncRNA (ENSMPUG00000025062.1)". Lineage: Eukaryota; Metazoa; Chordata; Mammalia; Carnivora; Mustelidae. The record is from RNAcentral.